GAUGAACGCUGGCGGCGUGCCUAAUACAUGCAAGUCGAGCGAACAGACGAGGAGCUUGCUCCUCUGACGUUAGCGGCGGACGGGUGAGUAACACGUGGAUAACCUACCUAUAAGACUGGGAUAACUUCGGGAAACCGGAGCUAAUACCGGAUAAUAUAUUGAACCGCAUGGUUCAAUAGUGAAAGACGGUUUUGCUGUUACUUAUAGAUGGAUCCGCGCCGCAUUAGCUAGUUGGUAAGGUAACGGCUUACCAAGGCAACGAUACGUAGCCGACCUGAGAGGGUGAUCGGCCACACUGGAACUGAGACACGGUCCAGACUCCUACGGGAGGCAGCAGUAGGGAAUCUUCCGCAAUGGGCGAAAGCCUGACGGAGCAACGCCGCGUGAGUGAUGAAGGUCUUCGGAUCGUAAAACUCUGUUAUUAGGGAAGAACAAAUGUGUAAGUAACUAUGCACGUCUUGACGGUACCUAAUCAGAAAGCCACGGCUAACUACGCG
This 497-nucleotide ribosomal RNA is filed under the name uncultured bacterium. RNAcentral describes it as "partial 16S ribosomal RNA". It matches the Rfam family "Bacterial small subunit ribosomal RNA", at positions 28 to 507 of the family's 1533-position model. The record is from RNAcentral.